Molecule: ribosomal RNA, 494 nt
Filed under: uncultured bacterium
Lineage: Bacteria
Description: partial 16S ribosomal RNA
Rfam family: Bacterial small subunit ribosomal RNA
Source: RNAcentral
GAUGAACGCUGGCGGCGUGCCUAAUACAUGCAAGUAGAACGCUGAAGGAGGAGCUUGCUCUUCUGGAUGAGUUGCGAACGGGUGAGUAACGCGUAGGUAACCUGCCUGGUAGCGGGGGAUAACUAUUGGAAACGAUAGCUAAUACCGCAUGACAACAGUUAUUGCAUGAUAACUGUUUAAAAGGGGCAACUGCUCCACUACCAGAUGGACCUGCGUUGUAUUAGCUAGUUGGUGAGGUAACGGCUCACCAAGGCGACGAUACAUAGCCGACCUGAGAGGGUGAUCGGCCACACUGGGACUGAGACACGGCCCAGACUCCUACGGGAGGCAGCAGUAGGGAAUCUUCGGCAAUGGACGGAAGUCUGACCGAGCAACGCCGCGUGAGUGAAGAAGGUUUUCGGAUCGUAAAGCUCUGUUGUAAGAGAAGAACGAGUGUGAGAGUGGAAAGUGCACACUGUGACGGUAUCUGACCAGAAAGGGACGGCUAACUACGU